AACGAACCGCCAGCUGCACCUCUGUUUUGUUAUUCUACUAUGUAAGAUACUCGUAAUGACAUUCUUUUCUCGUGAUGGACUAUAAAUUAAUUCAUGAAAAUUAUUAAACAAAAUACCCCUGCGCUGCGACUCACACUGGUGAAUGAACCGAUGGACCGUGUCUCUGUUCGCGCGUAACGUUUAACACCCCAUCUGCAAAAAGACGAGUGCAAUAGGAGGACUUCUGAGAAGUUCAC
RNAcentral lists this long non-coding RNA (236 nucleotides) under Carica papaya (papaya). RNAcentral describes it as "long non-coding RNA (CPAP_LNC015668)". Lineage: Eukaryota; Viridiplantae; Streptophyta; Magnoliopsida; Brassicales; Caricaceae. The record is from RNAcentral.